AUUGAACGCUGGCGGCAUGCUUUACACAUGCAAGUCGAACGGUAGCACGGGGGCAACCCUGGUGGCGAGUGGCGAACGGGUGAGUAACGCAUCGGAACAUGCCCAGUAGUGGGGGAUAACGCGUCGAAAGAUGUGCUAAUACCGCAUACGCACUACGGUGGAAAGCGGGGGAUCGCAAGACCUCGCGCUAUUGGAGUGGCCGAUGUCCGAUUAGCUAGUUGGUGGGGUAAUGGCCUACCAAGGCGACGAUCGGUAGCUGGUCUGAGAGGAUGAUCAGCCACACUGGGACUGAGACACGGCCCAGACUCCUACGGGAGGCAG
This 321-nucleotide ribosomal RNA is filed under the name uncultured Pseudomonadota bacterium. RNAcentral describes it as "bacterial SSU rRNA". It matches the Rfam family "Bacterial small subunit ribosomal RNA", at positions 30 to 351 of the family's 1533-position model. Lineage: Bacteria; Pseudomonadati; Pseudomonadota. The record is from RNAcentral.